AUUGAACGCUGGCGGCAGGCCUAACACAUGCAAGUCGAACGGUAACAGGAAACAGCUUGCUGUUUCGCUGACGAGUGGCGGACGGGUGAGUAAUGUCUGGGAAACUGCCUGAUGGAGGGGGAUAACUACUGGAAACGGUAGCUAAUACCGCAUAACGUCGCAAGCCCAAAGAGGGGGACCUUCGGGCCUCUUUCCAUCGGCUUUGCCCAGAUGGGAUUAGCUAGUAGGUGGGGUAACGGCUCACCUAGGCGACGAUCCCUAGCUGGUCUGAGAGGAUGACCAGCCACACUGGAACUGAGACACGGUCCAGACUCCUACGGGAGGCAGCAGUGGGGAAUAUUGCACAAUGGGCGCAAGCCUGAUGCAGCCAUGCCGCGUGUAUGAAGAAGGCCUUCGGGUUGUAAAGUACUUUCAGCGGGGAUGAAGGGAGUAAAGUGAAUACCUUCGCUCAUUGACGUUACCCGCAGAAGAAGCACCGGCUAACUCCGUG
RNAcentral lists this ribosomal RNA (490 nucleotides) under uncultured bacterium. RNAcentral describes it as "partial 16S ribosomal RNA". It matches the Rfam family "Bacterial small subunit ribosomal RNA", at positions 30 to 507 of the family's 1533-position model. The record is from RNAcentral.